This 252-nucleotide ribosomal RNA is filed under the name uncultured Bacteroidales bacterium. Its description in RNAcentral is "partial 16S ribosomal RNA". It matches the Rfam family "Bacterial small subunit ribosomal RNA", at positions 524 to 776 of the family's 1533-position model. Lineage: Bacteria; Pseudomonadati; Bacteroidota; Bacteroidia; Bacteroidales. The record is from RNAcentral.
UACGGAGGAUGCGAGCGUUAUCCGGAUUUAUUGGGUUUAAAGGGUGCGUAGGCGGCGAGUUAAGUCAGCGGUAAAAGCCCGGGGCUCAACCCCGUACUGCCGUUGAAACUGCAUCCCUUGAGUGCGCGAGAAGUAUGCGGAAUGCGUGGUGUAGCGGUGAAAUGCAUAGAUAUCGCGCAGAACUCCGAUUGCGAAGGCAGCGUACCGGCGCCACACUGACGCUGAGGCACGAAAGCGUGGGGAUCGAACAGG